This 69-nucleotide transfer RNA is filed under the name Channa micropeltes (giant snakehead). RNAcentral describes it as "tRNA-Phe". It matches the Rfam family "tRNA". From Rfam's summary of the family: Transfer RNA (tRNA) molecules are approximately 80 nucleotides in length. Lineage: Eukaryota; Metazoa; Chordata; Actinopteri; Anabantiformes; Channidae. The record is from RNAcentral.
GCUAAUGUAGCUUAAAUCAAAGCAUAACCCUGAAGACGUUAAGAUAGGCCCUAGAAAGCCUCGUAAGCA